RNAcentral lists this non-coding RNA (23 nucleotides) under Arabidopsis thaliana (thale cress). The record is from RNAcentral. Lineage: Eukaryota; Viridiplantae; Streptophyta; Magnoliopsida; Brassicales; Brassicaceae.
UUGACAUAGUUGUUGUUGAUGUC